This is a long non-coding RNA of Dalotia coriaria, 1109 nucleotides long. RefSeq lists it as uncharacterized. The record is from RefSeq and is a predicted model, not a curated record. The transcript is spliced from 8 exons. NCBI's taxonomy places the organism in Eukaryota, Metazoa, Arthropoda, Insecta, Coleoptera, Staphylinidae.
UGAAGACAGGGUAUUUAUUAAAAAACAGACAAGAAGGAAGAACAGUAAAAAGUUUUUUUUAUGUAAGCAUUUUGCAAUUUUAUGCAAUCAUUAGGCCUUUUCAAAUACGUCAUUUUUGAGUUGGUAAGUAAUAAGUACAUUUCAAAAAACUUAAAUUUGUGCUGUGGUAAACACUCUAUAUCUUCUGAACCAAUUCAUCUAUUUUGAAUUUUAAAAUUCAAACUUUUAAAUUUUCAACAUUCAGUCGGAAUAGCCUAAUUUCGAAGAAUAAAUAGUAAUUAUUUCGACAAAUAAGAGGGCUACAAAAGAAAGAACAUAAUAUUCGUGAUCCUUGAAGAAUUCUCUUCAGGAUGGCAUUCUUAUUGAAAAACAAUCAAAAUGUGGUUAAUCCGUUCGCAUCCAACGCAUCCAACAUUGCAUCUAUACUUCGUUGUUGCAUCCUAAUCGCAUCCUAACCUCAGUUCGAUUAUUAUUGCUUGAAAUAUAAAAGCAUUAUGGGGAGUGCAUCGAAGAUAUAAAGAAGAUCGGGGAUGAUUCAAUGAUGCGGUGUGGGACAAGAUAUUGUCUUCAAAAAGUUAACUGACUAAUUUUGACUUGCAUUAGGGAUUUUGCAUCUGAGUUUGAAAUCGUAGGAGGAUCAUUCUUGCAUCAGAUUGACUAGUUUUUGCUGCUUUUAGGGAUUUUGCACCUGAGUCUGACCUCGUAUAAGGAUCAUUCGUGCAUCAGAUUGGACUUUACACCUGAGUCUGACAACGUAGAAGGACCAUUCUUGCAUCAGAUUGGAUUUUGCACCUGAGUCUGACAUCGUAGGAGGACCAUUUUUACAUCAGAUUGGAUUUUGGACCUGAGUCUGAAAACGUAGAAGGACCAUUCUUGCAUCAGAUUGGAUUUUGCACCUGAGUCUGAAAACGUAGGAGGACCAUUCUUGCAUCAGAUUGGAUUUUGCAUCUGAGUCUGACAUUGCAGAAGGACCAUUCCUGGAUUACAUUAUGAAUAUUAUUUUUCUUUAUUAUUAUCUUAAAUAACUUUUGUGAUUAUUACACAAAUUGACUCCAAAAAUAUAUGCUUGUGUGUUUUCUUUAAUAAAGAAUAUUUUUAAGUUUUUUAAA